Molecule: transfer RNA, 74 nt
Organism: Natrialba asiatica DSM 12278
Lineage: Archaea; Methanobacteriati; Methanobacteriota; Halobacteria; Halobacteriales; Natrialbaceae
Rfam family: tRNA
About the family: Transfer RNA (tRNA) molecules are approximately 80 nucleotides in length. Their secondary structure includes four short double-helical elements and three loops (D, anti-codon, and T loops).
Source: Rfam
GGGCCAAUAGCUCAAUUAGGUUGAGCGCCACUCUGAUAAGGUGGAGGCUCUCGGUUCAAAUCCGAGUUGGCCCA